CCUACGGGUGGCAGCAGUGAGGAAUAUUGGUCAAUGGACGAGAGUCUGAACCAGCCAAGUAGCGUGAAGGAUGACUGCCCUAUGGGUUGUAAACCUCUUUUAUAUGGGAAUAAAAUGUUCCACGUGUGGGAUUUUGUAUGUACCAUAUGAAUAAGGAUCGGCUAACUCCGUGCCAGCAGCCGCGGUAAUACGGAGGAUCCGAGCGUUAUCCGGAUUUAUUGGGUUUAAAGGGAGCGUAGGUGGAUUGUUAAGUCAGUUGUGAAAGUUUGCGGCUCAACCGUAAAAUUGCAGUUGAAACUGGCAGUCUUGAGUACAGUAGAGGUGGGCGGAAUUCGUGGUGUAGCGGUGAAAUGCUUAGAUAUCACGAAGAACUCCGAUUGCGAAGGCAGUUCACUGGACUGCAACUGACACUGAGGCACGAAAGUGUGGGUAUCAAACAGGAUUAGAUACCCGUGUAGUC
This 460-nucleotide ribosomal RNA is filed under the name uncultured bacterium. RNAcentral's name for it is "partial 16S ribosomal RNA". It matches the Rfam family "Bacterial small subunit ribosomal RNA", at positions 338 to 795 of the family's 1533-position model. The record is from RNAcentral.